Molecule: long non-coding RNA, 528 nt
Organism: Hippopotamus amphibius kiboko
Lineage: Eukaryota; Metazoa; Chordata; Mammalia; Artiodactyla; Hippopotamidae
Exons: 3
Source: RefSeq, a predicted model, not a curated record
GUUGGCCAGCUGCCCUCAAACUAGGGGCAAUUUUGACCCCUUAGAAGAUAUUUGACCAUGUCUGGAGAUAAAGAAACAGAAGUUCAAGGAGUUAAGUAGGGCAUGCCAUGCAGCCCGGGUUUCAGCCACACUGCAAGAGGAAAGGAUUAUUCUUUAUCCAAAAUUAUUCUUGCUCUGCAGAGGGAAUCACAGUUAAAGUAACAAGCUUCCCCUGUGUAUUCUCAAGAGUUCAAGCAAGGAUUGUUUGACCAUCUCCUGGGAACACCGUUGAAAGGAUUCUUAUGUUGGCUGGGAUGUUCAUUCCAACCAGCCAUUGCUACGGUUCUUCAAAACACAGCUAAUUGCAUAAUGUAAAAUGAACCCAGUUUUUCAACUCGUUCAGCGCUCAGAUUCUAUUUGUUCUAUUAAAGACCAUAUUGACUUUGGAGAGUAAUUUGGCAGUCUUACACUACAGCAACUUUACUCCUAAUUAUAUUCUCCAGAGAACUCUCAUGUGCAAAGGAGAAAUGUAGGAUCCGUAAUGCAAAA